This 253-nucleotide ribosomal RNA is filed under the name uncultured bacterium. Its description in RNAcentral is "partial 16S ribosomal RNA". It matches the Rfam family "Bacterial small subunit ribosomal RNA", at positions 524 to 776 of the family's 1533-position model. The record is from RNAcentral.
UACGUAGGGUGCGAGCGUUGUCCGGAAUUACUGGGCGUAAAGAGCUCGUAGGUGGUUUGUCGCGUUGUCCGUGAAAACUCACAACUCAAUUGUGGGCGUGCGGGCGAUACGGGCAGACUAGAGUACUGCAGGGGAGACUGGAAUUCCUGGUGUAGCGGUGGAAUGCGCAGAUAUCAGGAGGAACACCGGUGGCGAAGGCGGGUCUCUGGGCAUCUCCUGACGCUGAGGCGCGAAAGCGUGGGGAGCAAACGGG